GGGGAAUUAGCUCAGUUGGCUAGAGCAUCUGCCUUGCACGCAGAGGGUCGCGGGUUCAAGUCCCACAUUCUCCACCA
RNAcentral lists this transfer RNA (77 nucleotides) under Mycoplasmatota bacterium. RNAcentral's name for it is "Tenericutes bacterium (anaerobic digester metagenome) tRNA-Ala". It matches the Rfam family "tRNA". Rfam says of the family: Transfer RNA (tRNA) molecules are approximately 80 nucleotides in length. Their secondary structure includes four short double-helical elements and three loops (D, anti-codon, and T loops). The record is from RNAcentral. Lineage: Bacteria; Bacillati; Mycoplasmatota.